AUUUUUUCAGAUGUAUCCAUUAACUCAACCUUCAUGACAACUACAGAAACAACUGCUAUGGGAUGUGAGGCUGUCACGGAGAGCUGCCAGGCGGAAUUCAUGAGGAACGUGGGGAUUCAUGGAGGCAACAAUUAUCUUGUUUGUCAGUGAG
This is a long non-coding RNA of Physella acuta, 151 nucleotides long. RefSeq lists it as uncharacterized. Lineage: Eukaryota; Metazoa; Mollusca; Gastropoda; Physidae. The record is from RefSeq and is a predicted model, not a curated record.